Long non-coding RNA from Myotis brandtii (Brandt's bat), 432 nucleotides. RefSeq lists it as uncharacterized. NCBI's taxonomy places the organism in Eukaryota, Metazoa, Chordata, Mammalia, Chiroptera, Vespertilionidae. The record is from RefSeq and is a predicted model, not a curated record. The transcript has 3 exons.
CAUCCUUGUAGGCAGCCUGCGAAGUGAGUUUGGAAGUUGCCCAGCGAAGAGCCCAGAGUUGGAAGUCAAGAGCUUUGAAAUCAGUUCUGGCUCUAUCAUCACUAGCUGCAUGACCUUGGGCAAGUAAUUUAAUCUCUCAGAAGUCUGAGUGUUCUCAUCUGGAAAAAGAACUCUAGUUUCAACAUUCAGAUUUUUAAGGUGAAAACGGCCAAUCUGCGCAUAAUGUGGCUCUUUGCAACCAGACCUGAACUGCUCUCCCCGACCGUGUAGUCUACCUGAUGGAAUCCCCCCUGCAGCUCGGCCUCGGGAACCAGGACCCGCAGCAGCAGCUUCUCUCCGCUGCCAGCGUGCGAGCCAGCGGCCUCUCUCCUCUUCAGAGUUCCCAGGUCCCGGGCUCCUCGCUGACAGGGGAAAUGAAUGGCUGUGAUUAUA